Molecule: long non-coding RNA, 5081 nt
Organism: Chiroxiphia lanceolata (lance-tailed manakin)
Lineage: Eukaryota; Metazoa; Chordata; Aves; Passeriformes; Pipridae
Exons: 7
Source: RefSeq, a predicted model, not a curated record
CGCGGCGAGCACGUGGCGGCGACGACGGCGGCGGCUACGGGGUCUCCCGCGCGGCGCUUACGGGGCGGCGUGAGGCGGCACCGCCGCCAUCUUGGAGCUCGAGCGGCCGCGGGAGAAUGAUGGAAAUCCUUCCUGACUUAAAGCCUCCACAACUUUCUUUUGAAGAGGUAUUGAUAUUCUUAAAACCUGAGGAGUCCAGCUGCAAACAACAGUCAGGAAAAGGGCAUCAGUCCAUUAAAUGAUAAGGUCUAAGGGUAAACUUUCAAGGGAUGCCACUGGUAACUGCUGUCAGAUGGAGUGUGACUCUUUAACCCCUUGGGCCUGUCAAGGUAGAUUUUCACCCAUUCAGCAGUCUGCCCAUCCACACUAUAACAUUCCAAUUUGGAUACAAGUUUGCUGUGGGAGACCUGCUGAAAGCCGUCCUGAAGUCAAGGCAUGGCUCCUGCAGACUUGCUCUGUUAUUGUCCCAGAGGACAAGCAGUGGUUCCAUGGAUCAUCAUUCUUGCCUUUCUUUAGCAUUAUGGGCUUUUGGAGAGAUUGAAGUGUGAAAUCAGCCUUUCACUUCACAGCUAAGAGAUUUGACAUAGUCCAUAGUGAUACACUCCCUACAAACUGGGACUAAAAAGUCUGUAAACAGUUAUUGAUCUCCACAUGCUACUGGGGAAAUUUUCCAAGAUCAGUGACAGCUGGGAAAUCACUGGCAUUUUAAAAUUAUAGAUCACUGAUUCACUUUUUUGGCAUUUUCAGUAUUGCAUUAUGGCAAUAAACAUGCUAGAUGUGUAUAAAAAAACCAAAGUGCUUUUAGCAUUUUAGUAUUUUUUUGUUUGAGCAGUAUUACAGAUGAAAAUUUUUUGAUACAAUUCAAAAUAAUGGGUUUGUUUAUUAAAGAUAUAUACCCAUUAAGAUGAAGUUAGGAUGAGGAAAAUGCUUGUUUGCGUGAAAAUAAUAUCUGCUUUUUCAACAACAGCAUCUCCUGAGGUUUCUUUGAUUCAUAUCUGAUUACUUUAAUGACUAAACCAGGUUUUAACUCCUGUUAGCACUGCAGAAUACAGGGAAUUAUAGAAGAGAAGAAUGUAUUUUGCCCUCCCAAGUCAUUGUCAACACAACUCUCAGGUACAUUUCAUUCUGGAAUUAUUUGCAAGGGAGGGGAUUGGUUUCCAGUCAUUGUCCCAGGCAGAGGUUGCAGAAGCCUCUGGUCAGUCACUGAGCUUUCAUUACAAUUUGGGAGGAGUUGGGUGCUUGCCUACAGAAGGGCACAGGUGCGUGAAAGGAAGAGAUGUGUUGACAAAAUCACCUCUUUGCUGGACAAUUAAAAAUGUGAGAUAAACCCGAGCUUGUUCUGUGCUGCCUGGGGCAAGAAGGACUUCAUAUUGUUAACACAGUGAUUCCUCUGGCUGAUGAAGGAUCUGCUCUGACGCAUUCUGAAGGAUGUUGCAUAUGCCUUGGCUGGGAAAAUGAUGUUUUCUUUGUACUGGUCGAGGAUAGAAAAGAAGGGGAAAUGGUGGGAGUGGUGACUCGGGUGAUCUUUAGAGAAAAAAAAUAAUGCAAAUUCAAAUUGAAGAUGAGCUCUGUAUACUUCCAGGUUUGAAAGUAAUUAGCAGUCACAGAGUUCAUAAUCUAGCGUCUCAGAUUUUUGCACUGGAAAAAUACACAUUUUAAAAUAGAAUAAAAAAUUUACUAAUAAGAUUAGCUGGCUAAUAAUGUUUUAAUGCAAAAAAUAUGUAAUAGAAAAUAUUGUUCAGUCAGAAUCCGGAAAGAAAAACAGCAAAUAAUAAACUGAUUUGAGCUAAGAACUUUGAAUACAGACUUAAUUGUUCAAGACAUGACUGAUUUUAUUUUAUUCCCAUGACAGCAUCAUUUCAUCCACAGUCUGUCAUGCCACGAGGCCUGUAAGAGGCUGUCUUUGAAGGGAUUGUAAUGGCAGGUAUAGUUCUGCCAAGUAGAAAUGAUUCUGGAGACACUGCAGAAGGUGGAGGCUUUCCUGUGAUGAACCUGGAGGCAGUCCGGAGGAGUUAGGGCUUAUGGAAUAACUGGCAAGCCAGGAAUGUUUCUGCACAAGUGCAGUGCAAAACUGAAAGGGACUUCAAGGGCUGACAGUCCUAAGCCACCAAGUGCAGUGAACUCAACCAAGGCAAUCUACCUGCAGCCUCCGAGCUCAUUCCUUGGAUUCCUGAAAGGAAUAAACCCAUCAUUGUUCAUCCAUGUGGCUGACAUUGGCAUAGAUCUACUUCACUCCAAUCUGAGCACUCGUAGGACUUGUAUAUAAUAGGAGCAAAAGGGAGUUCCUUGCCACUUAGUGUGAGAAAAAAAUGCCAGGGAAGACAAGUGCAUAUUAGGUUGUGCUCGCUGGCAAGCAAACACUCCUCAGCUCUGCCUGGCUUAGAGGGGCAGUGGAAGAGCAAGGGGGGGGGGGUGUGAGAAAGCCCUGCACAUUGGCAAUCCCCUGCUUUUACAAGCUCAGAAGAGCUUGUGGAAGAGUGGAAAAGCCAAGUAGCAUUCCAAAUCCCAGAGUCACAGGUCACUGCUGUCAUUUACAGGCUGGGUUCCUUCGGGCCGACGGUUUCUCUGUGUAAUUACACAAUAUUGAUGCACAUCUGUGAGGACAAACCGUUAGGAACAAACAGUUCAAAAUAUCUAUAAAAUGUAAAAUUAAAAAAAAAAAAUAUUUUCAGGUGUGAAAUGAGAUGAUGCUUUGCCUGCAUGGGCAAAAAUUGAUCCAAGUUUUGUGAUGACGGUGUCUCUGGUUUCAUGUCAGUUAUCUCAGCAUAACUUUUAGAUUAUUUCUGAAAUCAUGCACAGAAUGAGGGGCGAUACAGUUUGACCUUUUCAGACUUGCUGCAUUUUAAUUUUUCCUAUGCUCAGAAAUAACACAGAAAAACCCCCAAGAGGUAAUAUUAUUUUUGUAUAAAUCUCUGUAGUUAUACUAGGCAUGUUCGGAAUACAUUAAAGAUACUGUCCUGACACAAAAAAAUUACAAUGUGCUUUUAGAUAUUACAUAACUAAUGAGAGCAAUAAAUGCUGGGGGAACGAGUGGAUCAAGGUUACAAUAAUAAGAUUAUAGCAUUCCUCCACUAUGUGUGCAUGGUUAAAAAUUCACCUCAAUUUUGCUGCCUCAGUCUGGGCUUUGGUUUUUCAUUUUGGCUUUUUCUUGCUUUAUCAGAUUUAAUUUUCUGUCUGAGUCCACCAGACCAUAACAUCCUGGCUAAAAACUCUGACCAGACUUUUGAUUUUCUCUUUCUCUUUUUUUCCUCUCUCUCUUUUUUUUUUUUUCCUUCUUUUUAGUUUUCUUAUUUUUAAUUUAGAAUGUACCUGCUCUGCUUGCACGGCCACCAUCAAUGGCCUGUCUGUAGCAGAACCAUUGUCAUGGUCUUUUCUCUGACAGGAGUCACAGUUGAAGCACCAAUAGAAUAUACACUUGAAUGCUUGCAUGACUUUUUUCUACACAGGGAAAGUGAUACCAAAAAAAAAGUAAUUAUGUGAUUUCUACACAAUUACACCUGGAUUUUUAAAUCCCCACUUCGAAGACCCACCCCAUACACUGUGUGUGUGGUGUGUGAAAGGCAUGGAAAACGUGUGCUAAUGCUCCAUCUUCUCAUUCACAUCCAGCCCUAACAGUCACUUAAAAACGAUUUGUGAAAAAAUCAAUAAUGUACCUUACUGUCUUUUUUUGUAAUGUAUAAAAAAGGGUGGAUUUUUGCCAAUUUUUUAAACACUCUGAAAAUAUCAAGAUUGUAAAAUUGGAUUUUUAUUGAUUUUCUUGGAAGAUCUUUGGGGUUUCGACAGACAGGUAUUGACAGCAGCCACCUCUAGCUGAAUCAGAAGUAUUGAAUGUGUAACAGGAAUCAUUCGAUCUUCAACAUAUUUGAAUUAUCCUCAUGUUAAAACAAAAGUGAUCAGAAAUCUUUUCUCCUUUCAAGUCUUUGCUCUUGCACUGUUAUUCUUCUUUAUGUUCUUUAAUCGCCGCAGUCUUCCAGGCUGCAAACGAAAGAUAAACAAACAAUGGAAUAUCUAAUGUUUCAAAUGCAAGCACAGAUCAAAAAAGUAAAACAUGCUCCUUAAGUCCAUAGAGAUUACAAAUAAAUAGAAAAAUGGGACAAAUCCGUAUUUAUAAAAAUAAUUUCUUUCUCAAUAUUUGUAAUGGAGUUGUCAGUCACAUUAAUUUUUAUGUAAAUUUACCUAAGCUGAUGAAUCAUAACUGAAAUACUGUCUAAUCUUCCUGGGUUUGACCGGCAUUUCCAUUUUUAUUUCCAUCGCCUCAGUUUAUUUUUGUUUGUUGAUACAAUGAGUUUUAAGGGUCCGUUCCAGGACCCAUAACACAGCAAAAGGAGCGGCCCUGCCUCGAGUGGCUGUCAGUCCCACACAGGCAGUGGAUCCCGACACAUGAGAGUAAGACAAGAACAGUCUCCAUGACAGACAGUCAUCUUGGCACACAGCUGACGAUUCAUUACCAUUCCUUCAGUAGACAGCACAGCACAGGAGAUUUUUAGGGAGGGAUUUGAAGGAGGAAAAUUAGGUGAGUGGGAGUGAGAAGCAGCAGCGAGGGAAAGCAUGAAGGUGCUGGUUUGAAAAUGUAACAAGUAGAGAGUUAUUACUGAAUGAAAUGUGUGGGGGGAAGCCGUUGGUUUUUCCAUAGGCUAUUAAAAGAUGAUGGGGUGGGAAUAAGCUGCAAAGAGCCACAGAAGUGGAGCAGUUUUUGCUUGCCAAGAUGUGGAAGGAGGCGGGGGGACCCGCUGGAACAAGGAAUGGGGCUGAAACAGCGAAUGUGAGGAUAACCGGGGCAGCGGUGGUUUGCAGCAGUGUUCUGUUGUUCUUUGUUGGUUUGUGAUGUCCAAAAUCAGAUUGUUUGCUUUGGAAGGGCAAGGGCCAAAGACGUCUUUGUACUAACAAACACCUCAACAUGUUCUCAGGUGCUCUAAAAAUGAGCAAAUAAAAAUAAGCAACUGCUUCUCCUAAAAACCAGUUCCCUCAUUCUUCAGCCCUGAUUCAAGUUACGCCAUUCGGUUAUCUUUCUAUUUCCAAAAGAACUUUCUAUAUGAACUUUCCAGUUCUCUCUUGUCAAAUUAUCUUACUGUUUUUGGAAA